GCCGACGUAGCUCAGUGGCUAGAGCGCCAUCUUUGUAAGUUGGAUGUCGUGGGUUCGACUCCCACCGUCGGCU
RNAcentral lists this transfer RNA (73 nucleotides) under Vulcanimicrobiota bacterium. RNAcentral describes it as "tRNA-Thr". It matches the Rfam family "tRNA". Rfam says of the family: Transfer RNA (tRNA) molecules are approximately 80 nucleotides in length. Their secondary structure includes four short double-helical elements and three loops (D, anti-codon, and T loops). Further hydrogen bonds mediate the characteristic L-shaped molecular structure. tRNAs have two regions of fundamental functional importance: the anti-codon, which is responsible for specific mRNA codon recognition, and the 3' end, to which the tRNAs corresponding amino acid is attached (by aminoacyl-tRNA synthetases). tRNAs cope with the degeneracy of the genetic code in two manners: having more than one tRNA (with a specific anti-codon) for a particular amino acid; and 'wobble' base-pairing, i.e. permitting non-standard base-pairing at the 3rd anti-codon position. Lineage: Bacteria; Bacillati; Vulcanimicrobiota. The record is from RNAcentral.